UUGUAAACUAACUCAUCUUUAUUCUUUAGAAAGUGAUGCUUCUUUUUUACCUUUUACAGGAAAGAUGCUUACUAAUACAAAGAGCUCGAUUCACAGGUUAAAAAGACUCAAAUUGGGCUCAAAUUAGACUCAAUUGUAGACCAAAAGGAGACUCAAAGGGAUCCAAAAUUCUAACCAAAUCUGACUCAAAAUCCAACCCAAAAUCAGUCCAAACCAGCUGGUUCACCAUGGACCAAUUGAUCGGUCCACAGGAUUGAGGCACGGCCCAC
RNAcentral lists this long non-coding RNA (269 nucleotides) under Elaeis guineensis (African oil palm). RNAcentral describes it as "long non-coding RNA (EGUI_LNC053636)". Lineage: Eukaryota; Viridiplantae; Streptophyta; Magnoliopsida; Arecales; Arecaceae. The record is from RNAcentral.